This 449-nucleotide ribosomal RNA is filed under the name uncultured bacterium. RNAcentral's name for it is "bacterial SSU rRNA". It matches the Rfam family "Bacterial small subunit ribosomal RNA", at positions 329 to 794 of the family's 1533-position model. The record is from RNAcentral.
ACCCAGACUCCUACGGGAGGCAGCAGUGGGGGAUAUUGCACAAUGGGGGAAACCCUGAUGCAGCGACGCCGCGUGUGGGAAGACGGUCCUCUGGAUUGUAAACCACUGUCCCCAGGGACGAAAAUGACGGUACCUGGGGAGGAAGCUCCGGCUAACUGCGUGCCAGCAGCCGCGGUAAUACGUAGGGGGCAAGCGUUAUCCGGAUUUACUGGGUGUAAAGGGAGCGUAGACGGUCCUGCAAGCCAGAUGUGAAAGCCCGGGGCUCAACCCCGGGACUGCAUUUGAAACUGUCAGGCUGGAGUGCAGGAGAGGUAAGUGGAAUUCCUAGUGUAGCGGUGAAAUGCGUAGAUAUUAGGAGGAACACCAGUGGCGAAGGCGGCCUACUGGACUGUAACUGACGUUGAGGCUCGAAAGCGUGGGGAGCAAACAGGAUUAGAUACCCGUGUAUC